RNAcentral lists this long non-coding RNA (737 nucleotides) under Helianthus annuus (common sunflower). RNAcentral's name for it is "sRNA HanXRQr2_Chr03g0129191". The record is from RNAcentral. Lineage: Eukaryota; Viridiplantae; Streptophyta; Magnoliopsida; Asterales; Asteraceae.
AACUUCAAAUAAAACAGCUGAUGUCUGUGGUGAAUUCAACCUACAAGAUAAAAAAAACCCAUAUUAUUGUUAAGUGUCAACAACUACCAAAAGCAAACUGAAAUAAUAAUCUGCAAAUAGCAAGUAUACUUGUCAGCAUCCAUUGAAGAUUUGAAGCGAUGAAAACACAAUACCUGGUUUACAAUUUCACCGCGAUGGAACUUGAGCUAGUAUACUUUAUAAAGAUUAAAUCACUCAAAUUUAUCUAGUUAUCUAUGAAGAAUACAAAAAUUUUGGGAGUUCUGGUGUUUUCUAGGGUUUGGGUCUUUGAAGCAAAUAAUCGAACAGUUGGUGGGCAUGAGUGUGUUAACAGAUUAAAUGGAAUAUUAGAUGCGUAAAGCAGAAAAAUUUACCUCAAUUGUUCAAGAAUCUGAAGAAAUUUGAAUGAGGGGCGGCAGAUUCCUAUAACGAUUUGUGGGUUUUAUCAAUUUAUCAUCGAUUAGAUGAACGAAUCUUCAAGAAGAUAAUGUUGCAAUGAUCGAAAUCGUCGAUUAGAUGAUCGGAUCUUCAAGAAGAUGAUGUCGCCCAUCGUAAAAAGUGGUGAAUACAGAAAGACAGAGAGAAAGAGAAAAUCUGGAUCUAGGUUCUUGGGAAUUUGAGAGAGAGAGAGAGAGAAAUGGAUUGCCGCCCAAAGAAGAUUUGUGUGGAAUAUUAAGUUGACAGGUGGCAAAAACAGGUUUAAGCAAAUGCCAAGUGGC